CGAUUUUGCUUCAUAUAUCAUCUAAACCAACCCUCACUGCCCUCCUAAGAUAUAGGUACUGUUAAGAUCCUUUUUUAUACAUGGGGAGAAUCAGGCUUAGAGAAGUUAAGUAAUUCACCAAAACACACACAGCCGAUAAGAGGGAGACUUGAACCCCGUCCUGCUGACUUACAGAGUCCAAGUGUCACAUUUCUCCUCCCUUUGCUCCCAGCAGCUUUGUAGAUCCAGGCCCCGGUCUCUCAUGAGAACUUUCUGUACAUCUCACACUUCAGUUCCACAGGAUACCAGAAGAACUGUGACCAGCACUACUGUAACAAGGCUGGACCAGGCCCUGCAGCUGGAGAUGGAAGAUGGUGUUUCCUUGAGAAGAUUACCAUAAAGAAGAGAGACGAGAGUCAUCACUACAGCACAGGUGAACACAAUCGACCAGCCAAGGUGAUUCACACACUUCAGCUUGAAGCUGAUCUGCCACUUGUGUCUUCUUGUCUCUAUUGAAUUAAGUUCCUGAGACCUAAUCCUUCCCAUCACUAGUAUCGGUGCUUUUAUUUUUGUUUUCUACUUAGUUGGAUAACAUAGUGAAGGAAAAUGUGCUAAUAUAAUAGAAAUAAUUGCAUUAAUAAGCCUGGUAAACAGGCAGAGACAGUGGGAGCCAUGGCCAGAGGCAAGCUGCUGGCAGCCAGGCAGUACCACCAUACAAAAGCUCACAAAUUUCUUUCAAGAAAUGCCAUACGGCUGGGCAUGGUGGCUCAUGCCUGUAAUCCCAACGCUUCGGGAGGCCUAGAUGGGUAGAUCACUUGAGGUCAGGAGUUCAAGACCAGCCUGGGCAAUAUGGUGAAACCCCCCGUCUCUACUAAAAAUACAAAAAUUAGUCAGGCAUGGUGGUGCAUGCCUGUAAUCCCAGCUACUCAGGAGGCUGAGGCAGAAGAAUCGCUUGAACCUAAGAGGCAGAAGUUGCAGUGAGCCGAGAUCAUGCCACUGCACUCCAGCCUGGGUGACAGAGUGAGAGUCCAUCUCAAAAAAAAAAAAAAAAAAGAGAGAGUUCAUAAUGUCUGCGUGUGAAGGUGUAGGCUAUAUGACAGCUAAAUAUAUAACAGUGAGGACCAUCUGGCUUCAAUUUACAGAUUUAUUUAUGUAAAAACUCUCUUCUAUUUCUUCACCUUAAAGAAACAUGAAUAAAAUAUCCAACGCUCUCACUGGUGCAAUUCCUGAGAGAUUCCUUUGUCGUAUUGGGAUCUGUCAAUGGGUAGAUAAGGAGAAACAAAGGAAGGGAUAGAAGUGACACAGAGAGAGAGAGAGAAGGUAAAAAAUAAAGGGAGAAGCAGAAAAAAUCUUUUUAAAAACCUAUAAUUAAUAUACUUUGAAUGCUAAGGUAUUGCCUUAAUGAAAUGAGACCAGGAAAUUGUGAAAAAACAAUAACCAGAGAACAAAAAGGAGCUCUUGGAAAUAAAAAUAAAGCAGAAAAAAA
RNAcentral lists this long non-coding RNA (1465 nucleotides) under Homo sapiens (human). RNAcentral describes it as "HSALNT0133105". The record is from RNAcentral. Lineage: Eukaryota; Metazoa; Chordata; Mammalia; Primates; Hominidae.